GGAGAGAGAAGAAAGGCAUGCUUUCUACUCUGACGCGCUAGACAGCACGAUCCUACCUUGUCUACUCGAAAGAUACCGUUCAGACGCGCAUUAGAUGUGGAAAUCCAUACAGAGCUUAUACAAUUAGGAGAGUCAGAAGGCUCUGGGUUCACUAGAGGCUUUGCUUCCCAGAUAGAACGUGCGCUGGAUUGCAAAAGCCAACACUACUGGCUACUAGUAAAUUGCAUCUAAAAGACACAGAUCUUUUUGUGCGGAAAGCCAAAAGAUAGAAGAUGCAGAGGGAAGACAUGAG
Molecule: long non-coding RNA, 292 nt
Organism: Varanus komodoensis (Komodo dragon)
Lineage: Eukaryota; Metazoa; Chordata; Lepidosauria; Squamata; Varanidae
Exons: 3
Source: RefSeq, a predicted model, not a curated record